This 847-nucleotide ribosomal RNA is filed under the name uncultured Bacillota bacterium. RNAcentral describes it as "bacterial SSU rRNA". It matches the Rfam family "Bacterial small subunit ribosomal RNA", at positions 1 to 845 of the family's 1533-position model. Lineage: Bacteria; Bacillati; Bacillota. The record is from RNAcentral.
GGAUCCAGACUUUGAUUCUGGCUCAGGAUGAACGCUAGCGGCAGGCUUAACACAUGCAAGUCGAGGGGCAGCGCGGGGCGGCAACGUCCUGGCGGCGACCGGCGGAAGGGUGCGUAACGCGUGAGCGACAUGCCCGUUGCCCGGGGACAACCGGUGGAAACGCCGACUAAUCCCCGAUGGGACGGAGGCCCUCAUGGGUCUCUGUUGAAAGUUACGGCGGCGACGGAUUGGCUCGCGUCCGAUUAGCUUGUUGGCGGGGUAACGGCCCACCAAGGCUACGAUCGGUAGGGGUUCUGAGAGGAAGGUCCCCCACAAUGGAACUGAGACACGGUCCAUACUCCUACGGGAGGCAGCAGUGAGGAAUAUUGGUCAAUGGGCGGAAGCCUGAACCAGCCAUGCCGCGUGCGGGAAGGAGGCCCUAUGGGCUGUGAACCGCUUUUGCCUGGGGGCAAUAAGGGCGUCGCGCACGUCCGAUGAGAGUACCAGGGGAAUAAGCAUCGGCUAACUCCGUGCCAGCAGCCGCGGUAAUACGGGGGAUGCGAGCGUUAUCCGGAUUCAUUGGGUUUAAAGGGUGCGUAGGCUGUGCGUCAAGUCAGGGGUGAAAUUCCGGGGCUCAACUCCGGGGCUGCCCUUGAUACUGUCGCGCUGGAGUGCGGAUGCCGCCGGAGGAAUGAGUGGUGUAGCGGUGAAAUGCUUAGAUAUCACUCAGAACACCGAUUGCGAAGGCAUCUGGCGAAUCCGUAACUGACGCUGAGGCACGAAAGCGUGGGGAUAGAACAGGAUUAGAUACCCUGGUAUUCCACGCCGUAAACGAUGAUGGCUAACCGCCGGCGACAUACUGUCGGUG